AUUGAACGCUGGCGGCAGGCUUAACACAUGCAAGUCGAGCGGGGGAAGGUAGCUUGCUACCGGACCUAGCGGCGGACGGGUGAGUAAUGCUUAGGAAUCUGCCUAUUAGUGGGGGACAACAUCUCGAAAGGGAUGCUAAUACCGCAUACGUCCUACGUGAGAAAGCAGGGGAUCUUCGGACCUUGCGCUAAUAGAUGAGCCUAAGUCGGAUUAGCUAGUUGGGGGGGUAAAGGCCUACCAAGGCGACGAUCUGUAGCGGGUCUGAGAGGAUGAUCAGCCACACUGGGACUGAGACACGGCCCAGACUCCUACGGGAGGCAGCAGUGGGGAAUAUUGGACAAUGGGGGGAACCCUGAUCCAGCCAUGCCGCGUGUGUGAAGAAGGCCUUAUGGUUGUAAAGCACUUUAAGCGAGGAGGAGGCUACUCUAGUUAAUACCUAGGGAUAGUGGACGUUACUCGCAGAAUAAGCACCGGCUAACUCUGUGCCAGCCGCCGCCGUAA
Molecule: ribosomal RNA, 501 nt
Filed under: uncultured bacterium
Lineage: Bacteria
Description: partial 16S ribosomal RNA
Rfam family: Bacterial small subunit ribosomal RNA
Source: RNAcentral